CCCCUUCUCCCCGCCAGGAUCGAUCCGCCGACGACCUCCUCCUACCCCGCAACCCCAGCCACGCCGCCGACGACCCCCUCCUCUUCCUCGACUCCAGCCCACCUAGCCGAGACGCGCACCGACCAUCCAUCGUCCUCUGCCACCGCCGCCUCCUCCUUCCCCUCCCUCCUCUCAUCUCCUCUUUUGCUCCCCUUCCAACCUCCACUGAGCGCUGCCAUGGCGACCGAGCUGCCAUCCGUCCCUCCCUCCCUCCUCACGCCCGGAACCCUAGCUCGCGGCCAUGGCGACCGUAUGCGUCGCAGGCAGGGCAGGAGCUGCAGCACUCCAACACGUCGGCAAGGGAGGUUGAUAUGGAGGGAUUAAUAAUGGAUCAACGGGCCAGCUUGGUGGCUUUGGGGCAAGAUGUUUUGAGAUCAAACGGUGAGGCGGGCUCAGUUUGUACAGUCCUCGCCAAUGACCAUUCUCUAUGAAACCACAUGUAUUGUUCCAAUGAUUACCACCUGUAUUGUUCCAAUGAUUCCAUUGCGCCCUACGGUUAUGUUUGGUACUAAAAAUAAAAUUAGAAAAUUUGGGGAGUAACAAUUUUGUACUUCAUUGUAGCUACUGAUGAGUUAACUUGCACUUGCGAAAAAGAUAUGGACAGAGACUACAACUGGUUUCUGCCCAUUGGAGUAGAAGAAAGUCGAUGAAUUGGAUCAGUUGAGUGUCUUUCACUGGGCACCGAGGCGAAGAUUAUUGAUCCUGGAAUAGGAGAUGCUCCGCCUCCGGGUCUGCCACGCGAGCUAUGGUUCCGAGGACCCCUUUGUAAUGGAAGGUGGGCAGUGGACCGGCGACAUGCCGGCAGGAGAGACCACUCGUGGGGUCACUUGAAGGGCAUGUCGUCGUGGUUGCCGAACACCGUGGACCACGGGAUGCCCCUGCGAAGAAGAGGGAUCCUAAAGCCAAGAAGCUAUAGGACUGGGAUAACCAGGAGUACAUUACUGGCCCUGAGGACAAGAAGCCAGAGUAUCUGUACUUCCACAUCGUUUAAUACCUAUGGCGGCAUGAGAACUGGGAUGAGGAGGAAUAUGGCGAAUGGACAGCUCCGACCAUUCCAAACAUGGAUUGCAAGGGACCAUGGACACAAAAGAAAAUUAAGAAUCCAAACUACAAGGGCAAAUGGAAAGCGCCUUUUAUCGAUAACCCUGACUUACAUCCUGGAUGGUUGAUGGAAAUCCAGUUAUAGAAGCCCUUGUACCUGAACUGAAUAUUGGCAAUACGUUGAUGCUUGCAAAGUUGAAAUAUAACAUGUAGCCAGAGAGGAGGGUGCUGAUUGGCCUAUGUGGUUAUGUAUGAUUCAUAUUACUACAUUGCGAAGGCCUGCAACACAUGGAUUCAUGGGCAGAGAAGGUUCCUGCAGCUGAUAAUGACGAUGACAACAAUGUUGACCUUUUUGGAACCGAAGAAGAGUAGAAGGCAGCCGAAGAGCGUGCUGCCAAAGUGAAAAGUUCUUGCAAGAAGAAAGAAUCGUUGUCGUCUUCUUUGCAUGACGGCGUGGUGUCUCGACGCGUGAUGGAUUCACUCACAUGGAGGUAGCUUUUCUCCGCUACUCGGGCGACAGGCUUACAAGCUUUUGGGUCCAUGGCGCCAAUGGUAAACAAGGUAUGUCCUGUUCCGUUGAUUGAUCAGUUCAUCUUGCUUUUAAAAUUCUUGUGCUAUGAUUUGCUCAAAUUCUAUCGAGACAAUAGUGGAAAUCAAAAUUAUUUAUUUUAAAUGCAUGCCAUUUGUCCCUGAUCAUUAGUUCUUGUAACUUCAUGAUGUAAACCUUGUGGCGUUUAAUCUUCUUCCAUAGACCAUGCAUUUGGGAGUUUAUUGCAAGCUCUACCAUCUUGAUGUGUAAUUGCAGAUUGUGUUCUUGCUAUAAUUUUUUAUGACUUCUAUGUUUUAUAAUAUUCCAUGUAAAUUAGAAUAUCCUUGAUGUACAUUCCUUGAUAGUGUAGAUGAAUAUAUACAGCGUAGAUGAUAGUAACCCUUUUAUGAAUAUAUAUUCAUUUUAGACUCUAGCUCAGGUCUGGGCAUUAUAUAAGGAGUUGAAUUUGUCGGUUUAAAAUAUUUGUGCUAUCAAUCCUUUCUGUCCUUCUAGACAAAAAAGUUAUUAGUUUUUUUUUGCUAAUUUAGAAUAUUUCUGCUAUCAUCAAUGUAGAUGGGAAGGGAUAGGAGCUCAACAAGAAAUGGUCUAUAUUGUGAAGGCCUUUAACUAAUAAGUACAGAUUGUUUUUUUACAGAAAACACAAGUAAAGAUUAUGUGAGGUGAUUUAUCCAUUUUUAGAGUUCCCUCAUUAGUGUAUCCCUCAUUGUUAAUUGCUAUGCCUAAUUGCUAUGGUUUUUUAGCCAUUUUUAUAGAGAACACAAGUAAAGAUUAUGUUUGGUUUCCCAUAUUCUUUACCUGCUUAAUUGCUAUGAAAUUUUUCAAUGUCAGAUUACUAUCCACACCUGUAUGCUUUUCGUCCAAGUAUGACGGUUAAUUUGAAUUAGUGUCAUCUUGGUUAUGUGUCGUUCUUCUUUUGAUCAUUUUCUCACAUUCCGACACUAUUUUGUGUGUGUGCUGCCUAAUGUGUUUUGCAGGUACAGAUCUUGGUGAUCAGGAGUAUUAGUAGCUAUCCCAUGUUCUUUGUUCUCAUAUUAGCUCACAGAUAGGUUCUCAACAUGAGUAAUUACUCUCUAAAACAAUAGUUUAGUGGUGUGCUAAGCCACUAUUGCUAUACAAGGAUUAUCAAGAAAAUUUGCUCUAGCAUGUACACUUUGCAGUCAAGUCUAAUGAACAAAGUAAUUAAGAUGAAGCAUUUUCUUGAUUUUAUUAACCUGGAGCUUUUACCAUCUCUUCAUCGGGUCAUUUCUAUAGUAGCAUCCAGUCAAAUCUUUGUUUCUAUAUCUAUAUUUGAAGUCUAUUAAAAACCUAAAAACAUUGAAGGACCGGCAAACCUUUGGUAUUUUUGUCAAAUCUUUUAUUAUCCACAAUAGGAUAUCUAAAUUCAGUUACUCUUUAAUCUUAAAAUUUUGAGAAGGCACUUUAUUUACAUUGGUUGUUACCUUGUGUUAUGCGCUACUGAAAGCUAUGAUCCUAUCUAAGAUGAGGAUAUGCAUAGGAAGGGAGAAAUUUAUUGUGUAUGUGACAUUAUCUUGAAAAAAAAUUACAAUUAUUUAUACAUGCACACGGGUAUGGUGGUUCCCUUUUUGCAGCUCCUUAGGGAGGAGGGGUGUGGACGUACUUGCAGAGUAAAAAGCGAGUGACACAUUGCUCAGAGUGCGCCAAGACUUCCAUAGUGACUCUGAGAAAUUCCAACGCCCAUCUGAGCUCCUCCUUUUGGUGAUGUCAGCCGGUGAAUUUUCUCUACACUGCAGCAGAUCCAUACAUUGCAACACGAAGCAAAUUGGAUUACAAGGCCGUUGGACAAAACUAUCGAUCUAAUAGUCAACUGUAGUUUAUUACUAUGCCAUAUAAACUAUAAAGGCAGUGUAAGUAAGUUAUCUGGGCCUACCACUAUUAUGGCCUGCUUUUGGUAUCUCCAUGCUUUAGGUAUCUCAUGUUAUAUUUUUGACCAAAUGCACCAGCGACAUGUAAUAAGCAUUGAACAAAUGCACUGGAGACAUGUAAUAAGCAUUGAUGUAUUGGACCAUUACUGCUAUAACUAUCUAUCAUCUUCAA
Triticum dicoccoides is the source of this 3685-nucleotide long non-coding RNA. RefSeq lists it as uncharacterized. The record is from RefSeq and is a predicted model, not a curated record. The transcript has 10 exons. Lineage: Eukaryota; Viridiplantae; Streptophyta; Magnoliopsida; Poales; Poaceae.